RNAcentral lists this long non-coding RNA (1974 nucleotides) under Heterocephalus glaber (naked mole-rat). RNAcentral describes it as "lncRNA (ENSHGLG00000036255.1)". The record is from RNAcentral. Lineage: Eukaryota; Metazoa; Chordata; Mammalia; Rodentia; Bathyergidae.
GUGAAUGAUGUCCUCUCCCACACCUCAUCACGGCCUACAGGAAAUGGGGAUCUGUGGAGGUCAAAGUGUGCACGAGUGAGCUAGGCAGCUUCGCCUUGCUAUCAUUGGAGACAACAAACCUAGAAAGAGGAAAAUUCACGUCAGGUCAGUUGGGGCCCUCCAGUCCACAGAAAGCUUACCCAGGCUCAGAGCCCACGGCAGGCAGCAUCCCCAGGCCUUGCACGGCAGAGCAGAAUUUCUCAGCCAGAGACCAGCAAUCCAGGAAGUGCAGGAUCGGCGAGUCCUGCAAGUCCUUUCCAAGGACGCAGCACAGUGGCCACAGGCCUCCCACGAGACCCCACGGUGCAAGGGCCCCAGACCUCCUGGGGGUGCACAUCUGCUGGACACUUAUGCAACGGGGCACUGAGGCCCGCUCCAGUGGAGGAGAAAGCACGUUUACGACUGCCUGCCGGUAAUGACUUCCCUUUGCUUGAAUCAGUUGGUCCAAAAGCUGUGUUAUUUUCCUGGCUCCACUUAUUCAUGUCCUUAAACCGCAGGGGGCUAAGGUUACAGCAGACUUAGUCCUAGCCAGAGAGCAGGCGAGUCUGGACAAGUGAAGAGCAUACAUUUUAACUCAUGUGGGAAUGCAGGAAGAGCAACACCGUGCCUGUCUCCCUUUCUGCUGCUAUUGGAGAAGUGCUUGGGCUGCUUCCUGCUGCUGUGCUCUAUGACACCUUCCUCAGGAGCCAGUGCAGGACACCUUGAAACCAUGAGCAAAUGGAACCUCUUGUCCUUCGUGCUGUGGGUGUUGGCUUGUGUUUCAGGAAUUGUCUGGAAAGGAAUAAGACUGAAGUUGGUGAGGAUAACUGAGAUCUACACAAGGGAGUCGAUGCCAAGAACUACAGGAAUCACAAUGGGAAUGAAAUAAACAAACAUGGAACAGAGUGGACCCUGUGUGGGCAGCUGAGCGAGAUGGACAGUCAUAAGUAACCCUCAGGACUUUGGCUUGAAAUCAUUUAUACAUGGGGCUGGCCUUUGUUCAGACAAGAAAGGAAAAUACAGUAAAGUGCAAAUGAUAUCUGUGUUAGUCUUUGUUGUGUUAAAGUGUCCAACUAUUUUAGUUUUACAAGCAGAAAAUGACUGCAUCUCAUUCAGAGAUUUUCAGAUUGUGGAAAUGUGCUUCACUGCUAUAGAUUCUUGAAUGAAGUAACAGCAAGUGUAUUUUUCUUCAGUGUAACUGUUGUGUUUUAGAUAGAAUGUUCCCCAAAAGCUCAUGUGGUCAGAGGCAGGGAUUUGGAAGGUGACUGAUCGUGGGGCACCUUAGCCAUCAGUGGAUUCAUCCUGAUGGGUUCACAGCUGAAUGUGCUGUUAGCAGUUGGAGCCUGGUGGGAAGAAGUGAGUCACAGGGACGUGACCCCGAGAGGUGUCUCCCUCCCUGGUGCCCCCUCCUCUCUGCCUCCUGAAACGUGGGCUGAGAACCCCUUCCUUUGCCACGCUCCUGUGCCAUUCUGCCUGUGCCUUGGGACCUCCCAUGAACCUCCCAGGGGUUACAGCUUGAGCUAGCGUCACACUUUGGCUUUAUCCACGAGGUGUCUGUCCUGUAAGGAUGCAGAAUUCAAGAGUCAGAGAGGCUUCCUCCUGGAUUUCAGAGGAAGGCUUGGGAGGCCAGGCAGGCUGCCCCUGGGACAGCAGUGAGUGAAGCUGUGAGAGUGAAGUCAAAAGUGCCGUGGAGACCCCAGAGCCUUGGAAGUACUAGGAACAUGGAACAUCCGCUGAGCAACACCACAAACAGUGAGAGGAGCCGCUGGGAGAGAGGCCACGGGGCCACGAUGAGCACUGCCGUGGAGCUGGGCUGCCCCAAGGCCCGUGGCUCUCACAACUGCCCUGAUGCUGGACCUGAAACAACAGGACUUAAUGUUUACUCUGCUAGGUUUCAGAAUUGCUUUGGUCCCAUUCCUUUUCGUCUGCCUGUUUCCCCCUUUUAGAAUGGGAAUG